Molecule: non-coding RNA, 135 nt
Organism: Triticum aestivum (bread wheat)
Lineage: Eukaryota; Viridiplantae; Streptophyta; Magnoliopsida; Poales; Poaceae
Source: Rfam
CAACUACUCCCUCUGUCCCAAAUUUCUUAUCUUGGAUUUGUCUAGAUACGGAUGUAUCUAAUACUAAAAUGUGACUUGAUACAUCAGUAUCUAGACAAAUCUAAGACAAGAAUUUUGGGACGGAGGGAGUACUUU